GACGAACGCUGGCGGCGUGCUUAACACAUGCAAGUCGAGCGGUAAGGCCCUUUCGGGGGUACGACGAGCGGCGAACGGGUGAGUAACACGUGGGUGACCUGCCCUCAGCUCUGGGAGUAAGCCUGGGAAACCGGGGUACUAACACCGGAUAUGACUCCAUGACGCAUGUUGUGGGGUGGAAAGCCUUGUGCGGCUGAGGAUGGGCCCGCGGCCUAUCAGCUUGUUGGUGGGGUGAUGGCCUACCAAGGCGACGACGGGUAGCCGGCCUGAGAGGGCGACCGGCCACACUGGGACUGAGACACGGCCCAGACUCCUACGGGAGGCAGCAGUGGGGAAUCUUGCGCAAUGGGCGAAAGCCUGACGCAGCGACGCCGCGUGAGGGAUGACGGCCU
RNAcentral lists this ribosomal RNA (392 nucleotides) under uncultured bacterium. RNAcentral's name for it is "bacterial SSU rRNA". It matches the Rfam family "Bacterial small subunit ribosomal RNA", at positions 28 to 417 of the family's 1533-position model. The record is from RNAcentral.